GGCUUGGUAGCUCAGUCGGUAGAGCAGAGGACUGAAAAUCCUCGUGUCGGCGGUUCGAUUCCGUCCCAAGCCACCA
Molecule: transfer RNA, 76 nt
Filed under: Cutibacterium acnes
Lineage: Bacteria; Bacillati; Actinomycetota; Actinomycetes; Propionibacteriales; Propionibacteriaceae
Also listed under: 9 other names
Description: tRNA-Phe
Rfam family: tRNA
About the family: Transfer RNA (tRNA) molecules are approximately 80 nucleotides in length. Their secondary structure includes four short double-helical elements and three loops (D, anti-codon, and T loops). Further hydrogen bonds mediate the characteristic L-shaped molecular structure. tRNAs have two regions of fundamental functional importance: the anti-codon, which is responsible for specific mRNA codon recognition, and the 3' end, to which the tRNAs corresponding amino acid is attached (by aminoacyl-tRNA synthetases). tRNAs cope with the degeneracy of the genetic code in two manners: having more than one tRNA (with a specific anti-codon) for a particular amino acid; and 'wobble' base-pairing, i.e. permitting non-standard base-pairing at the 3rd anti-codon position.
Source: RNAcentral